This 782-nucleotide ribosomal RNA is filed under the name uncultured bacterium. RNAcentral describes it as "bacterial SSU rRNA". It matches the Rfam family "Bacterial small subunit ribosomal RNA", at positions 61 to 874 of the family's 1533-position model. The record is from RNAcentral.
GUCGCGGGAAUCCCAGCAAUGGGGGAACCGGCGUAAGGGGCAGUAAUGCGUGGGUACCUACCCUGGGGUUCGGGAUAGCCGUCCGAGAGGGCGGGUAAUACCGGAUGAUCUCGGGAGAGCAAAGCUCCGGCGCCCUGGGAGGGGCCCACGUGAUAUUAGCUAGUUGGCGGGGUAACGGCCCACCAAGGCGGAGAUGUCUAGCGGGUGUGAGAGCACGACCCGCGCCACUCGCACUGAGACACUGGCGAGACACCUACGGGUGGCUGCAGUCGAGGAUCUUCGGCAAUGCGCGCAAGCGCGACCGAGCGACGCCGCGUGUGCGACGAAGGCCUUCGGGUUGUAAAGCACUGUCGAGGGGGAGAAAAGCCCGCAAGGGUGUGAUCUAUCCCUGGAGGAAGCUCGGGCUAAGUUCGUGCCAGCAGCCGCGGUAAGACGAACCGAGCGAACAUUGUUCGGAAUCACUGGGCUUAAAGGGCGCGUAGGCGGGCUGCAAAGUCUGGGGUGAAAUCCGUCGGCUUAACCGGCGAAGUGCCUCGGAUACUGGCGGUCUCGAGGGAGGUAGGGGCGUGCGGAACUGUGGGUGGAGCGGUGAAAUGCGUUGAUAUCCACAGGAACUCCGGUGGCGAAGGCGGCACGCUGGACCUUUUCUGACGCUGAGGCGCGAAAGCCAGGGGAGCGAACGGGAUUAGAUACCCCGGUAGUCCUGGCCCUAAACGUUGAGAACUAGGUAGUAGGCCAGACAUGGGCUUACUGCCGGAGCAAAAGUGCUAAGUUCUCCGCCU